RNAcentral lists this ribosomal RNA (137 nucleotides) under Bremia centaureae. Its description in RNAcentral is "partial 5.8S ribosomal RNA". It matches the Rfam family "5.8S ribosomal RNA", at positions 1 to 132 of the family's 154-position model. Rfam says of the family: 5.8S ribosomal RNA (5.8S rRNA) is a component of the large subunit of the eukaryotic ribosome. It is transcribed by RNA polymerase I as part of the 45S precursor that also contains 18S and 28S rRNA. The record is from RNAcentral. Lineage: Eukaryota; Oomycota; Peronosporomycetes; Peronosporales; Peronosporaceae.
UAACAACUUUCAGCAGUGGAUGUCUAGGCUCGCACAUCGAUGAAGAACGCUGCGAACUGCGAUACGUAAUGCGAAUUGCAGGAUUCAGUGAGUCAUCGAAAUUUUGAACGCAUAUUGCACUUCCGGGUUAGUCCUGG